AUUGAACGCUGGCGGCAGGCCUAACACAUGCAAGUCGAGCGGAUGAAGGGAGCUUGCUCCUUGAUUCAGCGGCGGACGGGUGAGUAAUGCCUAGGAAUCUGCCUGCUAGUGGGGGAUAACGUCCGGAAACGGGCGCUAAUACCGCAUACGUCCUGAGGGAGAAAGUGGGGGAUCUUCGGACCUCACGCUAUCAGAUGAGCCUAGGUCGGAUUAGCUAGUUGGUGGGGUAAAGGCCUACCAAGGCGACGAUCCGUAACUGGUCUGAGAGGAUGAUCAGUCACACUGGAACUGAGACACGGUCCAGACUCCUACGGGAGGCAGCAGUGGGGAAUAUUGGACAAUGGGCGAAAGCCUGACCCAGCCAUGCCGCGUGUGUGAAGAAGGUCUUCGGAUUGUAAAGCACUUUAAGUUGGGAGGAAGGGCAGUAAGUUAAUACCUUGCUGUUUUGACGUUACCAACAGAAUAAGCACCGGCUAACUUCGUG
Molecule: ribosomal RNA, 484 nt
Filed under: uncultured bacterium
Lineage: Bacteria
Description: partial 16S ribosomal RNA
Rfam family: Bacterial small subunit ribosomal RNA
Source: RNAcentral